Non-coding RNA from Caenorhabditis elegans, 78 nucleotides. Lineage: Eukaryota; Metazoa; Nematoda; Chromadorea; Rhabditida; Rhabditidae. The record is from Ensembl.
CAGACAGGCGUGGUCCGGAGUCGGUGGGUUACCUUUGAAACCCCCCCUCCCAUCGGCACCAACUUGACCGUUCCUGUU